GGUUGUUCAGUCUUCGGAUUGAUCAAUAGUGGCGGACGGGUGAGUAACGCGUAAGAACCUACCCUUAGGAGGGGGACAACAGCUGGAAACGGCUGCUAAUACCCCAUAAGCUGAGGAGUAAAACAUACCUAAAAGGUAUGGCCUAGGGAGGGGCUUGCGUCUGAUUAGCUAGUUGGUGGGGUAAGAGCCUACCAAGGCGACGAUCAGUAGCUGGUUUGAGAGGAUGAUCAGCCACACUGGGACUGAGACACGGCCCAGACUCCUCCGGGAGGCAGCAGUGAGGAAUUUUCCGCAAUGGGCGAAAGCCUGACGGAGCAAUACCGCGUGAGGGAUGAAGGAUUUUGGUCUGUAAACCUCUUUUCUCAAGAAAGAAGUUCUGACGGUACUUGAGGAAUAAGCAUCGGCUAACUCCGUGCCAGCAGCCGCGGUAAUACGGGGGAUGCAAGCGUUAUCCGGAAUCAUUGGGCGUGAAGCGCCUGUAGGUUGUUUAAUAAGUCUGUUGUUAAAGACUAGGGCUCAACCCUAGGAAAGCAAUGGAAACUACUAGACUUGAGUAUGGCAGGGGU
This 566-nucleotide ribosomal RNA is filed under the name uncultured Halomicronema sp. RNAcentral's name for it is "bacterial SSU rRNA". It matches the Rfam family "Bacterial small subunit ribosomal RNA", at positions 68 to 658 of the family's 1533-position model. The record is from RNAcentral. Lineage: Bacteria; Bacillati; Cyanobacteriota; Cyanophyceae; Nodosilineales; Nodosilineaceae.